AAAAUUAUAGACUUACAGUUAAUAUUUUCAGCGCGUCUUGGAAAUUCUGUUGUGGUUGAUGACGCCACUCAAUGUCGUACGGAAAAAGAGUAUGGUCUUUUGCUAAAAGAGCCAUUCUUGUCGUUAACUUCUUCGCCGUUUCAUCCGUGGCUUGGUUUGUGUUAUCAAACAUAACCGUCCACUUCGUACCUUUCUCUGGAUGGUUAUGGGGGUGGUCUUUUGUGCGACCACGACCCUUCUUUUGUGGAGGCACAUUUGAAGUGGAUGGCCUCGCAUCUAAUUAAUUUACAUAUUUAAAAAUUAAUAUUUAAUAAAAAUCAUGAUAAUAUUUAAAAUAUUAAUAAUGAACUGACCACUCGAACUGGACUCC
Molecule: long non-coding RNA, 370 nt
Filed under: Zostera marina
Lineage: Eukaryota; Viridiplantae; Streptophyta; Magnoliopsida; Alismatales; Zosteraceae
Description: long non-coding RNA (ZMAR_LNC004791)
Source: RNAcentral